Long non-coding RNA from Hippopotamus amphibius kiboko, 2062 nucleotides. RefSeq lists it as uncharacterized. The transcript is spliced from 4 exons. NCBI's taxonomy places the organism in Eukaryota, Metazoa, Chordata, Mammalia, Artiodactyla, Hippopotamidae. The record is from RefSeq and is a predicted model, not a curated record.
CAGAUCCGAGAGAGGUGUCCUCGGCCCGCGCUUCGAGCGGUCCGCGCCGCGGCCGGGCAGGGGCACCUGCGGCUCCAGAUUCGGGGUGGAGGCACGUGGGAUGCGGACUCCCGCCACAGCCUGGGGGCGGACGGGCUCUCCCCAGACCCAUUCUACAGAGGCGGAAACUGAGGCUCGGAGAGGCGGCUGGACCGCAGCGUGUAGAGCAGCGCCGGGACCCCGCGCACCAAGCACAGCGGCACGAGAACCGCGGCCGCAGCAGGCCGCGCGCGGAGCCGGGUCGUGGUCCCCGCCAGCAACCGCCGGCAGCGUCGCUCGCCCUCCGUCGACAGGUUGUUGGUCAGCUUGAGCUUGUCGAAGGACACGAUCUGGCGCAUCCACUGCGCACCCUUGGCCGGCGAGUCUGGGUGGAAGUGCACGCGGCCGGGCGUGGCCGGGUCUGCCUUGCCCGCCACCAGCCAGGCCGAGCUGUGGAAGGCGUACCUGGGGACAGAGCGAGGAAGUGAGGGCGCCCCAACUGUGCCCCGGGUACCUCAUCUGCUGCCCCCAUGUGGAACCCAGCCUGACGGGGCGUCUCUCCUAUGGCCCCCACACUGGCCCCAUCUGCAUAUGAGAAACCAGAGACUCCAGAAUGCUGUCCGGCCUGGGUUCCUCACGGCUGCACCUGCUGCCCUGGGCUAGCCCACCCUACCUGCCCAGGCACGAAGUCCAUGAGCAGGACAUAGUCAGCCAGCGUGUCCAUGCCCAGGAUCUUCACCUGGAAGGUGGGGAACAUCCUCCUGCAGAGAAUUCAGCAGCCUGAAUGUGGUUCCAGCCUGACCUCCACUCCCACCUCACCGCCCCCCAAUUGCUCAUACCUGCCCGCCUUGGUGACAAUCAUCUCGGUGCCCAGCUGGUUGAAUUCCUCCCACAGAGCCUUCAUCUCCAGCUGAACCGUCACGCCGGACACACGUGGGUUCUUGGGGCCCUGCCCAGUGGGCUCGGCCAUGGCUUGGGCCCCUGUGGAGCCGGUGGAAGGGCCUGAUGGUAACAGGGAGUCCAGCUGGGGCUCCCAGCUGGAGCUGGUCAUGGGCGAGGUGUAGGUCUCCGAGGGGGCAAAUACCCCGAGGCCAGCAGAGAGGAAGGCUGGGGAGAGAGGACAGAGUGUGGGGCCCUUUUUACCUCACCCACCCCCACUCCACCCAGCCAGCUUUCAUCUUUCAGGCAGCACCCAGAUGCCUCUUCUUCCAGGAAGCCCUCCCUGACUGCCAGGCUUCUGUUCCCACAGGAUCCCCAACUCAGUGUCACUUCAUGAGGUAAAUUCUCACUUAAAGCUCCUGGAGACCAGAGACAGGACCUGUCUGGCUCCCCAGGGAAUCUUUGAGCCAUCAGAAGGCCAUGUGGACUUAAGCAAAUUGUUUCACCUCCUGGAGCCUCAGUUUCCACAUCUGUCACAAGCGGUUCUUAAUAUCUACCUUGUAGAGCUGACGUGAGGAUCUGUGAGGACAGGCACAGGGCCUGGUGCACAGUAGGCCCUUCAUAAAGGACACCUGUGAUGAAUGAUGGGACACGUGGGGUCAUGGGGGUGGGGGUGGAGGUCUUUCUCAGCUCUGGGGAGACCUGGCUGCCUUGUGCUGCUAAAGGAACACUGAGCUGAAGGAGAUCCCGGAAUUACCAUGAAUGACUCUUACCCAUCUCUGACCCCGAAAACUGGCCCAAAUCCUGCCUCUAGAAGCCAGUUCUAACAUCGUUCUGCUCUGGCUGCCUCACUUUUUUUUAAAGAGCCCAUCUUUUGAUCUGCAGUCCCAGAACAAGGCUUGGCCAAAAGCUUUGCCACAGCGCCACCCUUCUGAUUAAAGAAAAAGGUCCUAACUACAAUGAGAUACUACUUUAUACCCACGAGGAUGGCUGUUACUGAAAACCAAAACAAUAACAUAAACAAAAAAUGAAACAUUACAAAUGUUGGUGAGGAUGUGGAGAAAUUGGGACCCUUGUGCAUUGCUGGUGGAAUGUAAAGUGGUGUAGACCCUGUGGAAAACCGCUGACAGUUCCUCAAAAUAUUAAAGAUAGAAUUACCAUCCAA